Molecule: ribosomal RNA, 623 nt
Filed under: uncultured bacterium
Lineage: Bacteria
Description: bacterial SSU rRNA
Rfam family: Bacterial small subunit ribosomal RNA
Source: RNAcentral
CAAAGAUUUAUCGCUCUGAGAUGGACUCGCGUCUGAUUAGCUAGUUGGCGGGGUAACGGCCCACCAAGGCGACGAUCAGUAGCCGGACUGAGAGGUUGGCCGGCCACAUUGGGGCUGAGACACGGCCCAGACUCCUACGGGAGGCAGCAGUGGGGAAUAUUGGGCAAUGGGCGCAAGCCUGACCCAGCAACGCCGCGUGAAGGAAGGAGGCUUUCGGGUUGUAAACUUCUUUUCUCAGGGACGAAGCAAGUGACGGUACCUGAGGAAUAAGCCACGGCUAACUACGUGCCAGCAGCCGCGGUAAUACGUAGGUGGCAAGCGUUAUCCGGAUUUACUGGGUGUAAAGGGCGUGUAGGCGGGACUGCAAGUCAGAUGUGAAAACCACGGGCUCAACCUGUGGCCUGCAUUUGAAACUGUAGUUCUUGAGUACUGGAGAGGCAGACGGAAUUCCUAGUGUAGCGGUGAAAUGCGUAGAUAUUAGGAGGAACACCAGUGGCGAAGGCGGUCUGCUGGACAGCAACUGACGCUGAGGCGCGAAAGCGUGGGGAGCAAACAGGAUUAGAUACCCUGGUAGUCCACGCUGUAAACGAUGAAUACUAGGUGUGGGGGGACUGACCCCCUCC